AUGGUAGCCAGUGCCGCCGUUGACAGUGGAAAACUCCAUCGUUCCCGUGUCCAGCACAAUCAACGUGUCCGGCAAUGCCGAUGCCGAUGCCGAUGCCGAGUAGAAGCAACUGCGUCCCGAGAAAGGCAGGCAUUCCCAGCCAUGGCCUUUACGGUGAACCCCCAAAGAGGUCCAGCUGGUAGAUGCGGCCAUACACCAUCCUCGAGUGACGGAAGAGAAGACGAACGCAACAAGCUUGGUUUCAUAGUGAGCAAAGCAUAUCACGUUGAACGAGGUCCCAUGAUCCUCGUCGUCCUCGCCGAUGGGGGCCAGCAUGUGCCGGAGUUCAGGAGGGCGCUUCUCCUCGUCCUCAAGCAUCAUGUCAUCGGGAAUGGACGGGAGCAAGACGUAGCGCCUCGACAAAGGAUCGCACACCGCGAAGCUUUUGAAUGUCUCCCCAAGUGGCCUGCUGUCGAGGAGGACGCGGCCGUCGCGGAGGUCGCGGGGGAACCAGGGGCUGCCGUUGGUGGGCACGGGGACGAAGGAGUAGGUGAAGUCAGCCGCGUCGACGAGCGCGCGGGCGAACCGGACCGAUGGGUGGGGCGCCUGGGCCGGGCGGAAGCCACCUUUGGCGGCGAACCCGAGGAGCGGCGGCGGGUGGCGCUUGCGGAAGCGGCGGAGGAAGGACCUGUCGGUGAUGACACGGCGGAAACGGGGGCAGGCGGUCGAGGCGCGGGCGAGCGCGGCCGGGGUGGGCAGGCGGAGGAAAAUCUCCUCCAGCACGUCGUCGACGAGGUGCGGCAGCGACGAGGACAUGGCCGCCGAAGACGAAGCCGGCUCGGGGGACUGCGCCGCGACCUCCUCGCACACAGGGCGACACCACUCGUCGUCGUCGGGAUCGAGGCAAACGAGCUGUCCCCCGUCGCAGUCGAUCCGGCGCUGCGGCAAACAAGAUAG
This 936-nucleotide ribosomal RNA is filed under the name Triticum aestivum (bread wheat). Its description in RNAcentral is "partial small subunit ribosomal RNA". The record is from RNAcentral. Lineage: Eukaryota; Viridiplantae; Streptophyta; Magnoliopsida; Poales; Poaceae.